UGGGAUAACGUUACCGGGAAACCGGAGCUAAUACCGGAUAAUAUAUUGAACCGCAUGGUUCAAUGGUGAAAGACGGUUUUGCUGUCACUUAUAGAUGGAUCCGCGCCGCAUUAGCUAGUUGGUAAGGUAACGGCUUACCAAGGCAACGAUGCGUAGCCGACCUGAGAGGGUGAUCGGCCACACUGGAACUGAGACACGGUCCAGACUCCUACGGGAGGCAGCAGCC
Molecule: ribosomal RNA, 226 nt
Filed under: uncultured Staphylococcus sp.
Lineage: Bacteria; Bacillati; Bacillota; Bacilli; Caryophanales; Staphylococcaceae
Description: partial 16S ribosomal RNA
Rfam family: Bacterial small subunit ribosomal RNA
Source: RNAcentral